CACUCCUGCAGCCACUCCACUAAGGGAAAUUUUAAAAUAAUAAUAAAUAGAAAAAUUAUAGCCAAUUUUUGUUGAUUCAUUAAAAAAGUAUGGCCAGAGGCCCUAAUACAUCAGCAGGCCCAUGGCCGACCAAAAGCUUCCAACUGAAGAUUUAAAUUCUACAAGACAAACUAAACCCAUUGCAAAUUAACCUUAAUACAGCAUGGAUCUUGGACUCGAAUCCAUGGUCCAGAGGAUCAUCGCCAAAAAACCAAGAAACGGCUAUAUGCCUGCAAGGAGUUUCCCAAAAUAAUAACAACCCAAGGGAGAUGGAAAUACAACUAGAAACCCAACAACACCAGUGAAAUAUCGUGAUGGAAAGACUAUCAACAGCAUUGGGGCAGAAGAAAAACUUUUUUGCUAAAAUCUCAUGAUGGACUGCUAAAUCAAACACACAAAAUUUUAAAAAAAAAUCAACACCCAAUCUUCAGAAACAAACGGGAUCUACCUUUGAUACUAAAAUUGAAGAAAAAAGUAGAGUUCCAUCUUGGUCAACAACACUACUAAGUGUCAGUAGAGACCUUGAGAAUACUAUCCUCUCUCGUGUCCUCUCAAAAGGCUAACACCACCAAGCAGAUCCAUAUAGACCAACUCUUCCUAAAAACCACCUACAUGCAAUCCAUUCAAAAGCAUAUCAACAAUAUCCCUUACCCACUAAGCACCAGAUCUACCUUAAAAUCAUAGAGAAAGAUUAUUUAUUACGAUCCCCGUCCGGAGGUGAGGAGGGAGAGACUCACUCUCCAAGCAAGGAGGGAGAAAAUUGUCCCCUGCCUAAAAGGGGCAGAAUACGACGAUGACUUUGGCAAAGAAAGUAAUAUAGACCCACAAAAAUGAAACUACCAAGAGAACUUUCAAGAGAAAGGGACUAUAAGGUCAUUGAAAUUAUAGCAAAAUUAUUGUAUGUACAGGGAUGGAGAAAUAUACAGUCAAAUAAUACUACUUAAUUAAAAAAAAUCUCCAUACAUAUUAUAUUAAAUUACCAAUAUGAUGAGCCAUUCAAAUUUUUAAAAUAUUAUUAUAUUUAAUAAAUUUAAAUUUAUUAUCUUAUUUUAAUAUUUUGAAAAAUAAACACCUAAGUUUACACUGUUAGAGCAUUUUAUUUAAAUUUAGUAUAUUAAUAAUUAUUAUACUUGACUUGUAAUAUAUAAAAAAUUGAACAUAUUUAUUAUUUUACUUGUAAAAUUAACGUUUAUAUUAUUUAUUAUAAUUACAAGUAUUAAAAGUGUAUUUUUUAUGAUGAAUUGUGAAAACUCAAUUGUGAAAUUAAUGAUAAAUAUGAUUAUUUGAUUACAUAUAAACUUGGCUAAGGGCAAAACUGAGAACGGCCCAUAUCAAACUUGAAACCAACCCUGGUCAACAAUUCAAGACCUUGAGCUGAGAGUUUGAAAAUAAAACUAACCAGUGUGAACCAAAGGAAUCAGCCCUGUUCAAAAACUUAUUUUCUUUUCUUUUUUUUAAUUUAUAUUGAGCUUAAAUUUGAGUUUUUAUUUUUUACAUUAAAAAUUAAAUUAUUUAUUUAUAGUUUGAUGAUUCUAAUGGCCGAACUGGAACAGCUUCAAACUAAAACUGGACUGAACUAUGAAGUCGACCAAACCAAUGAUUUUGACUAGAAUUAGCCGUGGCCAUGUCUAAUUAUAUAUUGAGAAAGAUAUGUUUGAUAAUCUUUAUAAUGAAUCAAUCAUACAAUACCUACAGAAAAUGUAAAUUCAUGGAGAAUGGUUAUAAGUUUAAUAUUAUAAUAAUAAUUUAUUAUUUUACAAAACAUAUUAUUCUUAUAUAUUGAAAAUUUACAUAGAUUUAGAUUUUUAUUUUUUUAUUAAAUAAUUUAUCAUUACAUAUAAUAUUUUAUUUUCCUUUAAAUUGUGUAAAAUAUAUAUUUUUUUUUAUCUCAUUUGUUCAAUUUCCUAACUAUGUACCAAGAAGAAUAAAAAUUAGUACUCCUCCAUAAAGACAUAAUUAUAGUUAUUUUUUAAAAUUAAAACCAGUAAAUCUAAUAUUUUACGAAAGGUGGAACAAGUGAUUUAGAAACACAAAAUGAUAAUAAUUUUAAACAAUAAACUAAUCCAUCAAACGAUAAAACUCACUAUUUCAAUGUAAUAAAUGAAUAGAUAGACCAUAUAUUGGUCCUAAUCGAAAUUGAAGUAUUCUAUUUUUCAUAAUAUAUAAUCUUUGACGCAGAGAGAUUUAAUUAUGCAUUAAAAAGAGCAAUUUAAAACCAAAAUAAAGAAAACAAAAAGAGUGUAUAAGUGAAGAAAAUAUAGUUAACUGGAGAACCAAAUUUAUACCUGUACUCAUCAUGAAGAUCACCGAUUAUACUGUUCAAGAAAUCUUCACUUCAACUCGACGUGAGUAAAUGGUUUUAAUUCAGUGAUACUUUGUUUCUCCUUCUGAUAAGUUUUCGAUGGCAUGAAAUUUUCCUCCUCAAUGAGAAUGUUGGUGAUGGUGAUCUUGAUAAUGUGGAGUGGAGGCUAUCCACGUGUAUCCAUUUUUUGCAAAAUUUAAAGGGAUAAAAAAAAAAUGAAUAAAAGAUGAGAACUUUGAAAAAAUAGGCAACUUAUGGUUGCCACGGCCUUUUGCCCACCAUGGAGCCUAAG
Molecule: unclassified non-coding RNA, 2633 nt
Filed under: Hevea brasiliensis (rubber tree)
Lineage: Eukaryota; Viridiplantae; Streptophyta; Magnoliopsida; Malpighiales; Euphorbiaceae
Source: RNAcentral